GGACCCGACUGCUAUCGGAUUGAGAUUUAGCCACGCGAGUCGAACGUCCCCCUGUUGCGGGGGGCGUGGCGUACGGCUCAGUAACACGUAGUCAACCUGCUCUGGAGACACGGACAACCCCGGGAAACUGGGACUAAUCCGUGAUAGGUCACCUCAUCUGGAAGGAGAGAUGGCCCAAAGGGGCGCGCGGGCUUCUUCUGCGCGUUCGCUCCAGGAUGGGACUGCGACCGAUCAGGCUGUUGGCGGGGUAAAGGCCCACCAAACCUGUAACCGGUACGGGCCUUGAGAGAGGUGGCCCGGAGAUGGACACUGAGAAAAGGGUCCAGGUCCUACGGGGCGCAGCAGGCGCGAAACCUUCGCAAUGCGCGAAAGCGUGACGAGGCUAGUCCGAGUGCUCCCUGCUAAAGGGAGCUUUUCUCGGCUGUAAAUAGGCCNGGGGAAUAAGGGGAGGGCAAGUCUGGUGU
RNAcentral lists this ribosomal RNA (464 nucleotides) under uncultured archaeon. RNAcentral's name for it is "bacterial SSU rRNA". It matches the Rfam family "Archaeal small subunit ribosomal RNA", at positions 19 to 458 of the family's 1478-position model. The record is from RNAcentral.